UACGGAGGGAGCUAGCGUUGUUCGGAAUUACUGGGCGUAAAGCGCGCGUAGGCGGCCUAUCAAGUCAGGGGUGAAAGCCCGGGGCUCAACCCCGGAACUGCCUUUGAAACUAGUAGGCUAGAAUCUUGGAGAGGUCAGUGGAAUUCCGAGUGUAGAGGUGAAAUUCGUAGAUAUUCGGAAGAACACCAGUGGCGAAGGCGACUGACUGGACAAGUAUUGACGCUGAGGUGCGAAAGCGUGGGGAGCAAAC
RNAcentral lists this ribosomal RNA (250 nucleotides) under uncultured bacterium. RNAcentral's name for it is "partial 16S ribosomal RNA". It matches the Rfam family "Bacterial small subunit ribosomal RNA", at positions 524 to 773 of the family's 1533-position model. The record is from RNAcentral.